RNAcentral lists this ribosomal RNA (497 nucleotides) under uncultured bacterium. RNAcentral describes it as "partial 16S ribosomal RNA". It matches the Rfam family "Bacterial small subunit ribosomal RNA", at positions 28 to 507 of the family's 1533-position model. The record is from RNAcentral.
GAUGAACGCUGGCGGCGUGCCUAAUACAUGCAAGUCGAGCGAACGGACGAGAGGCUUGCUUCUCGGAUGUUUUCGGCGGACGGGUGAAUAACACGUGGAUAACCCACCGAUAAGACUGGUAUAACUUCGGGAAACCGGAGCUAAUCCCGUAAAAGAUUUUGAACCGUAUGGUUCAAAAGUAAAAGACGGUCUUGCUGUUACUUAUAGAUGGAUCCGCGCUGCAUUAGCUAGUUGGGAAGGUAACGGCUUACCAAGGCAACGAUGCAUAGCCGACCGGAGAGGGGGAUGGGCCAAAUGGGAACGGAGACACGGCCAAAAUUCCUCGGGGAGGAAGAAGAAGGGAAUCUCCGGAAAUGGGGGAAGGCUUGCCGGGGCAACGCGGCGUGAGGAAUGAAGGUUUUGGGAUCGUAAAACUCGGUUAUUAGGGAGGAACAGAUGUGUAAGUAAAUGUGCACAUCUUGACGGUACCUAAUCAGAAAGCCACGGCUAACUACGUG